RNAcentral lists this non-coding RNA (101 nucleotides) under unclassified sequences. The record is from RNAcentral.
ACUUUUUUGCCACCGGGUAAAAAAGACAGGAGUUUUGACUCCAGAGCGCCAGACUUUCUAUCAUUAGGUCAUAGAAGAUAGGAAGGUCUGGCAUUUUUUAU